UAAUUGUAUAUAUGUAUCCUAAUUGGAUUAUGGAUAUCCGAAGUCGUGCUUCGCUUGUCUUCUUUUAGUCUGCGGUAGUACUUAUCUUUUUAUUUAUGUAACAAAAAGAACUUUAGAUUUGAGAUGUAGAAAUAGCAUCUACACCUAACCUUUUGAAUGUGAUAUAAAAUUCGAAGAGACAUUAAAUAAUAUAUAAAGGGUUAGGAUCAAUCCACUAAUCACCGAUUGGUUUUAAGUUGGAAUCUCAUAAUAAACUCAAAUUUAUCAUAAUAUCAGAGUCCAUAUCCUAAAUACCCUAAACUCCUAAUUAAAAUUAAAAUUAACCUUUCCAACAGGGUAUAAAGAUCGUGAUUAACCCUUCCAACCGUGUAUAAAGGUUCUGUUAAACUUGCUCGACCGAGUAUAAAUAUCCUAAAGUUCUGAGAUUUCUGGUUGAUAAGAGCCAUCAUCUCGUGGAGGAGAUUAGGGAUAUAUAUCCCACAUCGGAAAUUCUAAGAGACAUUAAGUAAUAUAUAAAGAGUUAGAAUCAACACUAAUUACCAAUUGGUUUUAAGUUGGAAGCCCAUAAUAAACCCGAAUUUAACAUCAUUGAAAUUUAUUGUGAAUUUAAUAUACAUAACCUUCUGAUAAACUCAACAGAUUAUCAAGAUAUUGUACCAAAGGUUUUAGUAGUGAGGGAUCACUUCAAAUAUGUAUUGUGUAGACUGAGGAGUUAUGUAUGCACUUGUUCAUUGGUCAAUCCAGCGAUCAUCA
RNAcentral lists this long non-coding RNA (753 nucleotides) under Brassica napus (rape). RNAcentral describes it as "long non-coding RNA (BNAP_LNC008013)". The record is from RNAcentral. Lineage: Eukaryota; Viridiplantae; Streptophyta; Magnoliopsida; Brassicales; Brassicaceae.